GCAAGUCGAACGUUAAAGCAUCUUCGGAUGUGUAUAAAAGUGGCGAACGGCUGAGUACACGUGGGCAACCUGCCCUUUGCACUGGGAUAGCCUCGGGAAACCGAGGUUAAUACCGGAUACUCCAUAUUUGUCGCAUGGCGAAUAUGGGAAAGCUCCGGCGGCAAAGGGAUGGGCCCGCGGCCUGUUAGCUAGUUGGUGGGGUAGUGGCCUACCAAGGCAAUGAUGGGUAGCCGGGUUGAGAGACCGACCGGCCAGAUUGGGACUGAGACACGGCCCAGACUCCUACGGGAGGCGGCAGUGGGGAAUCUUGCACAAUGGGCGAAAGCCUGAUGCAGCGACGCCGCGUGCGGGAUGAAGGCCUUCGGGUUGUAAACCGCUUUCAGCAGGGACGAGGCCGCAAGGUGACGGUACCUGCAGAAGAAGCCCCGGGCUAACUACGUGCCAGCAGCCGCGGUAAAU
RNAcentral lists this ribosomal RNA (459 nucleotides) under uncultured Atopobium sp. RNAcentral describes it as "bacterial SSU rRNA". It matches the Rfam family "Bacterial small subunit ribosomal RNA", at positions 57 to 525 of the family's 1533-position model. The record is from RNAcentral. Lineage: Bacteria; Bacillati; Actinomycetota; Coriobacteriia; Coriobacteriales; Atopobiaceae.